Molecule: ribosomal RNA, 909 nt
Filed under: Macaca fascicularis (crab-eating macaque)
Lineage: Eukaryota; Metazoa; Chordata; Mammalia; Primates; Cercopithecidae
Description: partial 16S ribosomal RNA
Rfam family: Bacterial large subunit ribosomal RNA (bases 154-909)
Source: RNAcentral
GCCAAUACUAGCCCUAAGCAUAACCAACACUAAUACCAAACCAACAUACACUAAACCAUUCACCUACACAAAGUAUAGGCGAUAGAAAUUUUAAUCUGGCGCUAUAGACAUAGUACCGUAAGGGAAAGAUAGAAAACCACCCAAGCACAAAACAGCAAAGACUAACUCCUGUACCUUUCGCAUAAUGAAUUAGCUAGAAACAAUUUUACGAAGAGGACUACAAGCCAAAUCCCCCGAAACCAGACGAGCUACCCAAAAACAGCUAAAAGAGCGCACCCGCCUAUGUGGCAAAAUAGUGGGAAGAUUUCUGGGUAGAGGUGACAAGCCUACCGAGCCUGGUGAUAGCUGGUUAUCCAAGACAGAAUCUUAGUUCAACCUUAAGCUUACCUACAGAACUACCUAAUCCCCCUGUAAGCUUAACUGCUAGUCUAAAGAGGGACAGCUCUUUAGACACUAGGAAAAAACCUUAUGGAGAGAGUAAAACCCUCAAUCACCAUAGUUGGCUUAAAAGCAGCCAUCAAUUAAGAAAGCGUUCAAGCUCAACACUAACCACCACAAAAAUACCAAACACAUAACUGAACUCCUCACACCACAUUGGAUUAAUCUAUCACCAUAUAGAAGCAAUAAUGCUAGUAUAAGUAACAUGAAUAUUUUCUCCACCGCAUAAGCCUAAAUCGGACCGAAAGCCUCACCGAUAUUUAACAGCCAGGCAUAACAAGCACAAACAAGCCCAUGCCACCUUCACUGUUAAUCCAACACAGGCAUGCCCCAAGGAAAGGUUAAAAAAAGUAAAAGGAACUCGGCAAACCCAAACCCCGCCUGUUUACCAAAAACAUCACCUCUAGCAUUACUAGUAUUAGAGGCACUGCCUGCCCAGUGACACACGUUUAACGGCCGCGGUACCCUGAC